GAUGAACGCUGGCGGCGUGCCUAAUACAUGCAAGUCGAGCGAAUGGAUUAAGAGUUUGCUCUUAUGAAGUUAGCGGCGGACGGGUGAGUAACACGUGGGUAACCUGCCCAUAAGACUGGGAUAACUCCGGGAAACCGGGGCUAAUACCGGAUAACAUUUUGAACCGCAUGGUUCGAAAUUGAAAGGAGGCUUCGGCUGUCACUUAUGGAUGGACCCGCGUCGCAUUAGCUAGUUGGUGAGGUAACGGCUCACCAAGGCAACGAUGCGUAGCCGACCUGAGAGGGUGAUCGGCCACACUGGGACUGAGACACGGCCCAGACUCCUACGGGAGGCAGCAGUAGGGAAUCUUCCGCAAUGGACGAAAGUCUGACGGAGCAACGCCGCGUGAGUGAUGAAGGCUUUCGGGUCGUAAAACUCUGUUGUUAGGGAAGAACAAGUGCUAGUUGAAUAAGCUGACACCUUGACGGUACCUAACCAGAAAGCCACGGCUAACUACGUGCCAGCCGCCGCAGUAA
This 515-nucleotide ribosomal RNA is filed under the name uncultured bacterium. RNAcentral's name for it is "partial 16S ribosomal RNA". It matches the Rfam family "Bacterial small subunit ribosomal RNA", at positions 28 to 523 of the family's 1533-position model. The record is from RNAcentral.